RNAcentral lists this ribosomal RNA (433 nucleotides) under uncultured bacterium. Its description in RNAcentral is "partial 16S ribosomal RNA". It matches the Rfam family "Bacterial small subunit ribosomal RNA", at positions 29 to 507 of the family's 1533-position model. The record is from RNAcentral.
AACGAACGCUGGCGGCAUGCCUAACACAUGCAAGUCGAACGAGACCUUCGGGUCUAGUGGCGCACGGGUACGUAACGCGUGGGAACCUGCCCUUAGGUUCGGAAUAACUCCCCGAAAGGGGUGCUAAUACCGGAUAAUGUCUUCGGACCAAAGAUUUAUCGCCUUUGGAUGGGCCCGCGUUGGAUUAGCUAGUUGGUAGGGUAAAAGCCUACCAAGGCGACGAUCCAUAGCUGGUCUGAGAGGAUGAUCAGCCACACUGGGACUGAGACACGGCCCAGACUCCUACGGGGGGCAGCAGUGGGGAAUAUUGGACAAUGGGCGAAAGCCUGAUCCAGCAAUGCCGCGUGAGUGAUGAAGGCCUUAGGGUUGUAAAGCUCUUUUACCCGGGAUGAUAAUGACAGUACCGGGAGAAUAAGCUCCGGCUAACUCCGUG